CAGCCGCCGCGGUAAAACGGAGGGGGCUAGCGUUAAUCGGAAUUACUGGGCGUAAAGCGUGCGUAGGCGGUUCGUUAAGUCUGUUGUGAAAGCCCCGGGCUCAACCUGGGACCUGCAUUUGAGACUGUAUGGCUAGAGUGUGUCAGAGGGGGGUAGAAUUCCACGUGUAGCAGUGAAAUGCGUAGAUAUGUGGAGGAAUACCGAUGGCGAAGGCAGCCCCCUGGGAUAACACUGACGCUCAUGCACGAAAGCGUGGGGAGCAAACAGGAUUAGAUACCCCCGUAGUCCCUGUCUCUUAUAC
RNAcentral lists this ribosomal RNA (301 nucleotides) under uncultured bacterium. RNAcentral describes it as "partial 16S ribosomal RNA". It matches the Rfam family "Bacterial small subunit ribosomal RNA", at positions 509 to 807 of the family's 1533-position model. The record is from RNAcentral.